Molecule: transfer RNA, 72 nt
Filed under: Chionodraco hamatus (Antarctic icefish)
Lineage: Eukaryota; Metazoa; Chordata; Actinopteri; Perciformes; Channichthyidae
Also listed under: 1 other name
Description: tRNA-Ser
Rfam family: tRNA
About the family: Transfer RNA (tRNA) molecules are approximately 80 nucleotides in length. Their secondary structure includes four short double-helical elements and three loops (D, anti-codon, and T loops).
Source: RNAcentral
UAAGAAAGUGACAGAACGGUCAUGUGGUUGGCUUGAAACCAAUUUAUGGGGGUUCAACUCCUCCCUUUCUCG